CAUGCCGCGUGUAUGAAGAAGGCCUUCGGGUUGUAAAGUACUUUCAGUUGUGAGGAAGGGGGUGUCGUUAAUAGCGGCAUCUCUUGACGUUAGCAACAGAAGAAGCACCGGCUAACUCCGUGCCAGCAGCCGCGGUAAUACGGAGGGUGCGAGCGUUAAUCGGAAUUACUGGGCGUAAAGCGCAUGCAGGUGGUUCAUUAAGUCAGAUGUGAAAGCCCGGGGCUCAACCUCGGAACUGCAUUUGAAACUGGUGAACUAGAGUACUGUAGAGGGGGGUAGAAUUUCAGGUGUAGCGGUGAAAUGCGUAGAGAUCUGAAGGAAUACCAGUGGCGAAGGCGGCCCCCUGGACAGAUACUGACACUCAGAUGCGAAAGCGUGGGGAGCAAACAGGAUUAGAUACCCUGGUAGUCCACGCCGUAAACGAUGUCUACUUGGAGGUUGUGGCCUUGAGCCGUGGCUUUCGGAGCUAACGCGUUAAGUAGACCGCCUGGGGAGUACGGUCGCAAGAUUAAAACUC
Molecule: ribosomal RNA, 517 nt
Filed under: Vibrio sp. HZBN15
Lineage: Bacteria; Pseudomonadati; Pseudomonadota; Gammaproteobacteria; Vibrionales; Vibrionaceae
Description: bacterial SSU rRNA
Rfam family: Bacterial small subunit ribosomal RNA
Source: RNAcentral